UUAUACAGUGAAACUGCGAAUGGCUCAUUAAAUCAGUUAUCGUUUAUUUGAUAGUUCCUUUACUACAUGGUAUAACUGUGGUAAUUCUAGAGCUAAUACAUGCUUAAAAUCUCGACCCUUUGGAAGAGAUGUAUUUAUUAGAUAAAAAAUCAAUGUCUUCGGACUCUUUGAUGAUUCAUAAUAACUUUUCGAAUCGCAUGGCCUUGUGCUGGCGAUGGUUCAUUCAAAUUUCUGCCCUAUCAACUUUCGAUGGUAGGAUAGUGGCCUACCAUGGUUUCAACGGGUAACGGGGAAUAAGGGUUCGAUUCCGGAGAGGGAGCCUGAGAAACGGCUACCACAUCCAAGGAAGGCAGCAGGCGCGCAAAUUACCCAAUCCUAAUUCAGGGAGGUAGUGACAAUAAAUAACGAUACAGGGCCCAUUCGGGUCUUGUAAUUGGAAUGAGUACAAUGUAAAUACCUUAACGAGGAACAAUUGGAGGGCAAGUCUGGUGCCAGCAGCCGCGGUAAUUCCAGCUCCAAUAGCGUAUAUUAAAGUUGUUGCAGUUAAAAAGCUCGUAGUUGAACUUUGGGCCCGGUUGGCCGGUCCGAUUUUUUCGUGUACUGGAUUUCCAACGGGGCCUUUCCUUCUGGCUAACCUUGAGUCCUUGUGGCUCUUGGCGAACCAGGACUUUUACUUUGAAAAAAUUAGAGUGUUCAAAGCAGGCGUAUUGCUCGAAUAUAUUAGCAUGGAAUAAUAGAAUAGGACGUUUGGUUCUAUUUUGUUGGUUUCUAGGACCAUCGUAAUGAUUAAUAGGGACGGUCGGGGGCAUCAGUAUUCAAUUGUCAGAGGUGAAAUUUCUUGGAUUUAUUGAAGACUAAACUACU
This 864-nucleotide ribosomal RNA is filed under the name Saccharomyces cerevisiae (brewer's yeast). Its description in RNAcentral is "SSU rRNA". It matches the Rfam family "Eukaryotic small subunit ribosomal RNA", at positions 74 to 945 of the family's 1831-position model. Lineage: Eukaryota; Fungi; Ascomycota; Saccharomycetes; Saccharomycetales; Saccharomycetaceae. The record is from RNAcentral.